RNAcentral lists this ribosomal RNA (629 nucleotides) under Platynectes gemellatus. RNAcentral describes it as "partial 16S ribosomal RNA". The stretch from base 388 to 546 matches the Rfam family "Bacterial large subunit ribosomal RNA", at positions 2473 to 2632 of the family's 2925-position model. The record is from RNAcentral. Lineage: Eukaryota; Metazoa; Arthropoda; Insecta; Coleoptera; Dytiscidae.
GUCCUUUUGAUAUUUAUUUAAGGUCUAACCUGCCCACUGAUAAUAAUUAAAGGGCCGCAGUAUUUUGACUGUGCAAAGGUAGCAUAAUCAUUAGUUUUUUAAUUGAAAGCUUGUAUGAAAGGUUGGACGAGGUAAGAUCUGUCUCUAUAUAAUUUAAAUUAGAAUUUAAUUUUUAAGUUAAAAAGCUUAAAUUAUUUUAAAAGACGAGAAGACCCUAUAGAUCUUUAUAAAAAGUUAAUUAAUUUUAUUUUAGAUUUUUAUAUCUUUUAUUUAAUUUUUUAUUUUAUUGGGGUAAUAAAAAGAUUUGAAAAAUUCUUUUUUUUUAUUUUCAUUUAUUUAUGUGUUUGUGAUCCAAUUUUUUUGAUUAUAAGAUUAAGUUACCUUAGGGAUAACAGCGUAAUUUUUUUAAAGAGUUCAUAUCGAUAAAAAAGUUUGCGACCUCGAUGUUGGAUUAAAAAUUAUCUUAGGUGUAGAAGUUUAAGAUUUUGGUCUGUUCGACCAUUGAAUUUUUACAUGAUCUGAGUUCAGACCGGUGUAAGCCAGGUCGGUUUCUAUCUUUAUAAAGUUUUAAUAUUUUAGUACGAAAGGACCAAAUAUUAGUUAUAUUUAUAUUUAUUAUUUUUGAAUAU